GACGAACGCUGGCGGCGUGCUUAACACAUGCAAGUCGAGCGGUAAGGCCCUUUCGGGGGUACGACGAGUGGCGAACGGGUGAGUAACACGUGGGUGACCUGCCCUUAGCUCUGGGAUAAGCCUGGGAAACUGGGUCUAAUACCGGAUAUGACUCCAUGACGCAUGUUGUGGGGUGGAAAGCCUUGUGCGGCUAGGGAUGGGCCCGCGGCCUAUCAGCUUGUUGGUGGGGUGAUGGCCUACCAAGGCGACGACGGGUAGCCGGCCUGAGAGGGCGACCGGCCACACUGGGACUGAGACACGGCCCAGACUCCUACGGGAGGCAGCAGUGGGGAAUCUUGCGCAAUGGGCGAAAGCCUGACGCAGCGACGCCGCGUGAGGGAUGACGG
RNAcentral lists this ribosomal RNA (386 nucleotides) under uncultured bacterium. RNAcentral describes it as "bacterial SSU rRNA". It matches the Rfam family "Bacterial small subunit ribosomal RNA", at positions 28 to 414 of the family's 1533-position model. The record is from RNAcentral.